RNAcentral lists this ribosomal RNA (452 nucleotides) under uncultured bacterium. RNAcentral describes it as "bacterial SSU rRNA". It matches the Rfam family "Bacterial small subunit ribosomal RNA", at positions 329 to 794 of the family's 1533-position model. The record is from RNAcentral.
UCCCAGACUCCUACGGGAGGCAGCAGUGGGGAAUAUUGGGCAAUGGGCGCAAGCCUGACCCAGCAACGCCGCGUGAAGGAAGAAGGCUUUCGGGUUGUAAACUUCUUUUCUCAGGGACGAAGAAAGUGACGGUACCUGAGGAAUAAGCCACGGCUAACUACGUGCCAGCAGCCGCGGUAAUACGUAGGUGGCAAGCGUUAUCCGGAUUUACUGGGUGUAAAGGGCGUGUAGGCGGGAAAGCAAGUCAGAUGUGAAAACCACGGGCUCAACCUGUGGCCUGCAUUUGAAACUGGCAAACUGGAGUGUGUGAGAGGAUAGUGGAAUUCCAGGUGUAGGAGUGAAAUCCGUAGAUAUCUGGAGGAACAUCAGUGGCGAAGGCGACUAUCUGGCACAUAACUGACGCUGAGGAGCGAAAGCGUGGGUAGCAAACAGGAUUAGAUACCCUUGUAUGC